Molecule: ribosomal RNA, 497 nt
Filed under: uncultured bacterium
Lineage: Bacteria
Description: partial 16S ribosomal RNA
Rfam family: Bacterial small subunit ribosomal RNA
Source: RNAcentral
GAUGAACGCUGGCGGCGUGCCUAAUACAUGCCAGUCGAGCGAACGGACGAGAAGCUUGCUUCUCUGAUGUUAGCGGCGGACGGGUGAGUAACACGUGGAUAACCUACCUAUAAGACUGGGAUAACUUCGGGAAACCGGAGCUAAUACCGGAUAAUAUUUUGAACCGCAUGGUUCAAAAGUGAAAGACGGUCUUGCUGUCACUUAUAGAUGGAUCCGCGCUGCAUUAGCUAGUUGGCAAGGUAACGGCUUACCAAGGCAACGAUGCAUAGCCGACCUGAGAGGGUGAUCGGCCACACUGGAACUGAGACACGGUCCAGACUCCUACGGGAGGCAGCAGUAGGGAAUCUUCCGCAAUGGGCGAAAGCCUGACGGAGCAACGCCGCGUGAGUGAUGAAGGUCUUCGGAUCGUAAAACUCUGUUAUUAGGGAAGAACAUAUGUGUAAGUAACUGUGCACAUCUUGACGGUACCUAAUCAGAAAGCCACGGCUAACUACGUG